GUUGAGUUGAGUUGAGUUGCAUUUGAUAUUAAGGUUGCAACAUCUGUUCCAGUUACCAAUAUGAUCUACAGUCUGCUACUAAGUCUUGCAAGAAGCCAUAUGUUACAUUUUGAAAUUCUUAAUUCAAUUUCCUUCUUUUUUAAAUUUUUCUAAAAGAGAUAAGUUUCUCCUUCUUCCUAUUUGCACAAAUUUACUAAUUUGGAAAAAAAUAUAUUCAGAGAGCAAAACUCA
This 231-nucleotide unclassified non-coding RNA is filed under the name Hevea brasiliensis (rubber tree). Lineage: Eukaryota; Viridiplantae; Streptophyta; Magnoliopsida; Malpighiales; Euphorbiaceae. The record is from RNAcentral.